Molecule: ribosomal RNA, 497 nt
Filed under: uncultured bacterium
Lineage: Bacteria
Description: partial 16S ribosomal RNA
Rfam family: Bacterial small subunit ribosomal RNA
Source: RNAcentral
ACUCAAAGGAAUUGACGGGGGCCCGCACAAGCAGCGGAGCAUGUUGUUUAAUUCGAAGCAACGCGAAGAACCUUACCAGGUCUUGACAUCCAUUGAAUCCUGCAGAAAUGCGGGAGUGCCGCAAGGAACAAUGAGACAGGUGGUGCAUGGUUGUCGUCAGCUCGUGUCGUGAGAUGUUGGGUUAAGUCCCGCAACGAGCGCAACCCUUAUUGUCAGUUGCCAGCACGUAACGGUGGGAACUCUGACGAGACAGCCGGGGUAACUCGGAGGAAGGUGGGGACGACGUCAAAUCAUCAUGCUCUUUAUGACCUGGGCUACAAACGUGCUACAAUGGCCGAAACAAAGGGAUGCAAGGGCGCAAGCCGGAGCGAAACCUAAAAUUCGGUCCCAGUUCAGAUUGAGGGCUGCAACCCGCCCUCAUGAAGAUGGAGUUGCUAGUAAUCGCGAAUCAGCACGUCGCGGUGAAUACGUUCCCGGGCCUUGCACACACCGCCCGU